AAUUUAUUUUAUUAAUAUUUUUGUUUUUAAUUGAUUUUUUAUAAAAAUAAUUUAUUUAUUUAAAGUUUUAGUAUUAAUUAAAAAUUAAUUUAUAGAUUUAUAGUUUAAUAGUAUAGUGAAAGAAAUAUUUAGAUUUUAAAAAGAAUAAAUUUAGUACCUUUUGUAUCAGGGUUGAUUAAAAUUUUUAAUUUUUUUUUAAAUUCUCAAAAUUUAUAGAGUUAAUUUUAUUAUUAAUUUAUUGUAUUAUAAAUAUUUAUAAAAUAAUAUUAGUUUUGAAAUUUAAUUCGUUAUAUUAUAUUUAGUUAUUUAAGAUUUAAAUUUAAUUUAAAAUUUUAAAAGUUAUGUUGAUUUUAUUAAUUAAUAUUUUAAAUUUAAAUUAUUUUAGGGAUAAGCUUGAAAUUUUUAUAUAAUAAUUUAUUUAAUUUAAUAAUUUAUAGGAAUAGAAAUUUUUAUUUAAGUUUGUAAAAAUUUAUUAUUUAUUUUAUUUUAAUUUAUUAUAAAUUAUUUAUUUUUUAUAUUAAAUUUUAUUAAUUAAUAAUUAAUUAAUAGUAAUAAUGAUUAAAUUAGUAUAAUUAAUAUUUAUAAAUUAUGAAUUCGGCAAAAAUUAUUUUCAUCUGUUUAACAAAAACAUUGUAUUAAGUUUAAUUUAAUAUAGGAUCUGCUCAAUGAUUUAUUAAAUAGCUGCAGUAUUUUGACUGUGCAAAGGUAGCAUAAUAAUUAGUCUUUUAAUUGAGGACUUGUAUGAAAGAUUUGAUGAGAAAUAAACUUUAUUAUUUAUAUAAUUAAAAUUUUAUUUUUAAGUAAAAAAGCUUAAAUUAUUUAAAGGGACGAUAAGACCCUAUAAAACUUUAUAAAUUUUAAAUUUAAUUUUUUUGGAUUUAUAAAUAUUUUAUUUUUAAAAUUUAUUUUAUUGGGGUGAUAAAAAAAAUUAAUAAACUUUUUUUAAAAAUUAACAUUAUUUAAUGAAUUUUUGAAUUAAAAUUUUUAAUUAAAGGAAAAAGUUACUUUAGGGAUAACAGCGUAAUUAAUUUUUUAAGUUCAAAUUUAAAAAUUAGUUUGCGACCUCGAUGUUGAAUUAAGAUUAAUCUUAGGUGCAAAAUUUUAAGUGUUAGGUCUGUUCGACCUUUAAAUUCUUACAUGAUUUGAGUUCAAACCGGUGUAAGCCAGGUUGGUUUCUAUCUUUUAAAAAUUAAUUUAUUUUAGUACGAAAGGAUUAAAUAAAUAAAUUAAAUUUUUAUUAAAUGAAUAAAAUUAAUUUA
This 1259-nucleotide ribosomal RNA is filed under the name Schizaphis graminum (greenbug). RNAcentral's name for it is "large subunit ribosomal RNA". The record is from RNAcentral. Lineage: Eukaryota; Metazoa; Arthropoda; Insecta; Hemiptera; Aphididae.